AGAUAGUGGAUGUGUCUCACAUGACAAAAUCUUACCAGUUGAAAAGUCAGUACUGAAAGACAGUACUGAUGCAUUAAUCCUAGCAGCAAAGGAACAGGCACUUGGCACAAGAUCAAUAAAAGCGGGAGCCUACCAGGCAAGACCCAGGGUGCAGAGAUAGCAAAAAGGGUAGUUGAGAAUGACAGGGCUAAGAUCCUAUGGGAAUGCCAGAUCCAGACAGACAAGCAAGUGCUUAGCAAAAAAAAAAGUAGUAUAAAAAGAGUAUAAUGCACACACUAAAAAAGGGGGAAUACUUCCAGCAAUGUGCUUCAGAAAGGGAGGGCCAAUCCCUGGAGACAUCAAAUGGGAAAAAAUAAAUAUCCAGGCAC
Molecule: non-coding RNA, 368 nt
Organism: Pelobates cultripes (western spadefoot toad)
Lineage: Eukaryota; Metazoa; Chordata; Amphibia; Anura; Pelobatidae
Source: the annotation of a GenBank genome assembly